RNAcentral lists this ribosomal RNA (253 nucleotides) under uncultured bacterium. RNAcentral's name for it is "partial 16S ribosomal RNA". It matches the Rfam family "Bacterial small subunit ribosomal RNA", at positions 524 to 776 of the family's 1533-position model. The record is from RNAcentral.
UACGUAGGCAGCAAGCGUUGUUCGGAGUUACUGGGCGUAAAGGGUGCGUAGGCGGUCCUAUAAGUAUGGUGUGAAAUCUCCCGGCUUAACUGGGAGGGUGCGCUAUAGACUGUGGGACUAGAGUGUGGGAGAGGAAAGUGGAAUUCCUGGUGUAGCGGUGAAAUGCGUAGAUAUCAGGAGGAACACCGGUGGUGUAAACGGCUUUCUGGACCAUAACUGACGCUGAGGCACGAAAGCGUGGGUAGCAAACAGG